RNAcentral lists this ribosomal RNA (253 nucleotides) under uncultured bacterium. Its description in RNAcentral is "partial 16S ribosomal RNA". It matches the Rfam family "Bacterial small subunit ribosomal RNA", at positions 524 to 776 of the family's 1533-position model. The record is from RNAcentral.
UACGAAGGGGGCUAGCGUUGUUCGGAAUUACUGGGCGUAAAGCGCAUGUAGGCGGCGAUUCAAGUCGGGGGUGAAAUCCUGAGGCUCAACCUCAGAACUGCCUUCGAUACUGUAUUGCUAGAGUAUGGAAGAGGUUGGUGGAACUGCGAGUGUAGAGGUGAAAUUCGUAGAUAUUCGCAAGAACACCAGUGGCGAAGGCGGCCAACUGGUCCAUCACUGACGCUGAGAUGCGAAAGCGUGGGGAGCAAACAGG